This is a non-coding RNA of Rattus norvegicus (Norway rat), 1021 nucleotides long. The record is from RefSeq and is a predicted model, not a curated record. Lineage: Eukaryota; Metazoa; Chordata; Mammalia; Rodentia; Muridae.
GUCAAGUUAAUAAAAACAAAACAAAAAAAAUCCAUUGCUUCUGUUCCUUCUGUUUACAUAUCUCUAUUUAGUUCAUUCAGUGGUCAUCCUUGCUACAUAUUUGAAGGGUGAAAGAAAACAUAGAAAAGAAAGAAAGGAAGGGAAGUGGAUGGAGAGAAGGCUCAGAGGAUAAGAGUCUAAGAACAUAUUGCUCAUACAGAGGACACAAGUUGGGUUCCUCCAUCCACAUAUAACUGACUACAUAGCUCUAGUUCCAGGGAGAUCCAACACCUCUGGCCUCCAUGGGUACCUGCACUUGCAUGAACAUACACACACACACACACACACACACACACACACACACACACUUGAACGUAAAAGUAUAUUUAAAAAGAAAGGGGAGAAACGCCUUCAUUUGUAUGGGGCCGUCUGUUUAACGAACUUCACAUUAAAGGCGUUCCAAUAUGGAGGAAAAAUUCCCAGGAAGAACAUGGAAGACUUGUUCCAAAACGUAAAGGGCUGUUUGAAGCGUGUGUUAUUCGGCAAGGGGAGAAUGGAGACAUUGGGCGGAAGUUCACAGUCUAACCAGCUAGUCCAGUUAAGAUGGCUGCCGACAGGCACGGGGAACUUCCGGUCCAGGAUGGUGAAGGAGGGUAAAGCUGAGGAUAAGAACCUACGUAUCCUUGAAGAGCCUUCUGCUUCUUCUUUGCCACUGGCUCAGACCUGUACACAGACCACAUGCAGUCCUAACUCCCCAGUGCCACAGUCAGAGACUGCUAACCAUGAAGAUGAGAAAACUUGAUGGCUUCGUGAGAUGAGAGGCUGACUCGCAGGCAUCCGUUAGGUGCUGACAGCGUAUGUAAUGUGGAAGGCCCUGCCCACAGACUGGAUCCAGAUGCAUGCCAAGGACCAGGGCAGUCAACAGUUCAUCCUCUGCUCAGAGCAUAAAAGUAGUCUAUUCUAUGAGCACUUGCCAUGUGCAGCCGUGUGGCACUGAAUUAUGAUUAGUCCAAAUGGUAAUGUGUGUGUGUGUGUGUUAAAA